CCCAUCACGCAACACCCUCAUGCUCGAUUAAUCGGCUGGCGACCACCAUCGUCUGGUGGCGGCGGCACACGACGGCGAUAGGACGAAGAGAGAGUGAGAGAGAGAGAGAGAUCGGAGCUCGAGCUAGGAGAGAAGGACACACCGACCGACGGCGAUAGCCGCGUUCAGCGGCGGCGACGUUCAACGGCGGCAUCUCGACUUCGUGAGUGUUCGUUUAGAAUUCUCUAAUGAAGAAGAUGAUAAAGUUUGGUUCCGGUGCACGCCAUUCUCGUUGCGGUAUACACCUUCUUAUCCCUUUUUGUUCACUGAAACGAUUCAUUUAUAUUUAACCUUAAUCGGAACUUCACUCCCUCUGUUCAACAACUCACCGGAGCAUCCUCAAGCCGGAAAAACUCGAAGACCUUGCUGGAGAAAGAUGGGCGUCGUUGGAGAUACGGAAACACGUCGGAGACCGGGAACGCACGUCUGCGACACCUACAGAUCUUCGUUCGGAUAAUCGCUCUUGUUCGCUCUCUUGGAUUUUUUUCUCAUUCUUCACUCGUGCGAUACAUACAAGAAUUCGCAACGCAACCAAUGUG
Helianthus annuus (common sunflower) is the source of this 578-nucleotide long non-coding RNA. RefSeq lists it as uncharacterized. NCBI's taxonomy places the organism in Eukaryota, Viridiplantae, Streptophyta, Magnoliopsida, Asterales, Asteraceae. The record is from RefSeq and is a predicted model, not a curated record. The transcript has 3 exons.